AGCUAAUAGAUACCCCGGUAGUCCACGCCGUAAACGAUGGAUGCUAGCUGUUUGAGGUAUCGACCCCUCAUGUAGCGAAAGCUAACGCGUUAAGCAUCCCGCCUGUGGAGUACGGUCGCAAGACUAAAACAUAAAGGAAUUGACGGGGACCCGCACAAGCGGUGGAGCGUGUUGUUUAAUUCGAUGGUAAGCGAAGAACCUUACCCAGGCUUGACUUCCUCGGAAUUUUGGCGAAAGCCGAGAGUGCCUUCGGGAACCGAGUGACAGGUGUUGCAUGGCCGUCGUCAGCUCGUGUCGUGAGAUGUUUGGUUAAGUCCAUCAACGAGCGCAACCCUUAUAGUUAGUUGGAUUUUUCUAGCUAGACUGCCCUGGCAACAGGGAGGAAGGAGGGGACGAUGUCAGGUCAGUAUUACCCUUACGUCUGGGGCUACAAACACGCUACAAUGGCCGGUACAAAGGGCAGCCAAGUCGCGAGACGGAGCAAAUCCCAUCAAAGCCGGUCCAAGUUCGGAUUGCAGGCUGAAACUCGCCUGCAUGAAGCUGGAA
RNAcentral lists this ribosomal RNA (546 nucleotides) under uncultured bacterium. Its description in RNAcentral is "bacterial SSU rRNA". It matches the Rfam family "Bacterial small subunit ribosomal RNA", at positions 774 to 1331 of the family's 1533-position model. The record is from RNAcentral.